Molecule: long non-coding RNA, 560 nt
Filed under: Homo sapiens (human)
Lineage: Eukaryota; Metazoa; Chordata; Mammalia; Primates; Hominidae
Description: non-protein coding lnc-HIST1H2AA-2:1
Source: RNAcentral
AUUUUCAGCCCAAGACACAAAGCCAGCUCAGACUUCUGAAUUUUUCCAUCCUUGUUCACGUCGCAGUGACGCAGGAGAAUCUCGCGGAACUUAUCAAGGUCCACCCCGCUGAUGCUGGGCUGAGGGCGACAAAAGUAACAUGUUAACAGGCAAGCCAAUGGUGUUCUCACCCUUUAACACCCUCUCUGAUGCUCCCUAAGCUUAGGGUGUCCUGCCUUGAAGGAGACAGGCCACAGGGAGUGAGGGAAUGAGUCUAUCGCCUCAUCCCACCAAAUGCUGCCAAGGAUAAGUUUUCUGCCAACAGCUUCAUUUCUCAGCAUGUCCCUUCAGGCCAAAAAACCUUUACUUCCACAUCACUUCCCUGCAGUUCUUAGAAAAAGACUGCCUUAUUAGCAACCAUAGUAAAGAUACUUUGCCGCAAAGUAGGCAAUUAUGAUCAUAAAUUUCUGCCUUGCUGCACUGAUGAGAGAAGACACAUUUCAUUAUCUCCUUGUAGGAGAUUUUUGUGCCUCUGGUUUAAAAAAAAAUGGUUAUACUGAAUGUAAAUUUAAAACAUGUGG